RNAcentral lists this unclassified non-coding RNA (340 nucleotides) under uncultured bacterium. RNAcentral's name for it is "contains 16S-23S intergenic spacer region". The record is from RNAcentral.
UCCCCGUUACCGGGGCAGUCUGAAUAGAAAAAUACAACUAUUCACAAGGGUUGCGCUCGUUGAUGGACUUAACCAAACAUCUCACGACACGAGCUGACGACGGCCAUGCAACAUCUGUCACUUGGUUCAAUAAAGCACUCACUCCUUUCGGAGUAGUUCCAAGGAUGUCAAACCCUGGUAAGGUUCUUCGUUUAUCAUCGAAUUAAAGAACACGAUCCACCGCUUGUGCGGGUCCCCGUCAAUUCCUUUAUGUUUUAGUCUUGCGACCGUACUCCACAGGCGGGAUACUUAACGCGUUAGCUUCGGCACGGAAGGUGGGGAUGACGUCCCAGUAUCGGAA